This 504-nucleotide ribosomal RNA is filed under the name Kocuria flava. RNAcentral describes it as "bacterial SSU rRNA". It matches the Rfam family "Bacterial small subunit ribosomal RNA", at positions 371 to 884 of the family's 1533-position model. The record is from RNAcentral. Lineage: Bacteria; Bacillati; Actinomycetota; Actinomycetes; Micrococcales; Micrococcaceae.
AUGGGCGGAAGCCUGAUGCAGCGACGCCGCGUGAGGGAUGACGGCCUUCGGGUUGUAAACCUCUUUCAGCAGGGAAGAAGCCACAAGUGACGGUACCUGCAGAAGAAGCGCCGGCUAACUACGUGCCAGCAGCCGCGGUAAUACGUAGGGCGCAAGCGUUGUCCGGAAUUAUUGGGCGUAAAGAGCUCGUAGGCGGUUUGUCGCGUCUGCUGUGAAAGCCCGGGGCUCAACCCCGGGUCUGCAGUGGGUACGGGCAGACUAGAGUGCAGUAGGGGAGACUGGAAUUCCUGGUGUAGCGGUGAAAUGCGCAGAUAUCAGGAGGAACACCGAUGGCGAAGGCAGGUCUCUGGGCUGUUACUGACGCUGAGGAGCGAAAGCAUGGGGAGCGAACAGGAUUAGAUACCCUGGUAGUCCAUGCCGUAAACGUUGGGCACUAGGUGUGGGGGACAUUCCACGUUCUCCGCGCCGUAGCUAACGCAUUAAGUGCCCCGCCUGGGGAGUACG